CUACGGGUUGCUGCAGUGGGGAAUAUUGGACAAUGGGGGAAACCCUGAUCCAGCAAUGCCGCGUGUGUGAAGAAGGCCUGCGGGUUGUAAAGCACUUUCGGUUGGGAGGACUGCUUCUAGCACUAAUAUUGUUGGAAGUUGACGUUACCUUCAGAAGAAGCACCGGCUAACUCCGUGCCAGCAGCCGCGGUAAUACGGAGGGUGCAUGCGUUAAUCGGAAUUACUGGGCGUAAAGCGCGCGUAGGCGGCUAGAUCAGUCGGGUGUGAAAGCCCCGGGCUUAACCUGGGAACUGCAUCCGAUACUGUCUAGAUUGAGUACAGGAGAGGAGAGUGGAAUUCCACAUGUAGCGGUGAAAUGCGUAGAUAUGUGGAGGAACACCAAUGGCGAAGGCAGCUCUCUGGCCUGAUACUGACGCUGAGGUGCGAAAGCGUGGGGAGCAAACAGGAUUAGAUACCCGGGUAGUC
RNAcentral lists this ribosomal RNA (465 nucleotides) under uncultured bacterium. RNAcentral's name for it is "partial 16S ribosomal RNA". It matches the Rfam family "Bacterial small subunit ribosomal RNA", at positions 339 to 795 of the family's 1533-position model. The record is from RNAcentral.